CUGUGAAAUGUUGGGUAAAGUCCCGCAUUGAGCGAAACCCUUAUCCUUUGUUUCCAGGGUUUUGGUCGGGUAUUCAAAUGAGACUGCCGGUGAUAAACCGGAGGAAGGUGGGGAUGAUGUCAAGUCAUCAUGGCCGUUACGAGUAGGGCUACACACGUGUUACUAUGGUGCAUAUUAUGUGAAGGGGCCUGGGGGGGGCAAGCGGACCUCACAAAGUGCGUCGUAGUCCGGAUCGGUGUCUGCAACUCGACUCCGUGAAGUCGGAAUCGCUAGUAAUCGUGGAUCAGAAUGCCACGGUGAAUACGUUCCCGGGCCUUGUACACACCGCCCGUCACACCCAUGGGAGUGGGUUGCAAAAGAAGUAGGUAGCUUAACCUUUCGGGAGGGCGCUUACCCUUCUUGUUUAGU
RNAcentral lists this ribosomal RNA (408 nucleotides) under Pantoea sp. RNAcentral describes it as "bacterial SSU rRNA". It matches the Rfam family "Bacterial small subunit ribosomal RNA", at positions 1065 to 1472 of the family's 1533-position model. Lineage: Bacteria; Pseudomonadati; Pseudomonadota; Gammaproteobacteria; Enterobacterales; Erwiniaceae. The record is from RNAcentral.